RNAcentral lists this ribosomal RNA (253 nucleotides) under uncultured Ruminococcus sp. RNAcentral describes it as "partial 16S ribosomal RNA". It matches the Rfam family "Bacterial small subunit ribosomal RNA", at positions 524 to 776 of the family's 1533-position model. The record is from RNAcentral. Lineage: Bacteria; Bacillati; Bacillota; Clostridia; Eubacteriales; Oscillospiraceae.
UACGUAGGGGGCAAGCGUUAUCCGGAUUUACUGGGUGUAAAGGGUGCGUAGGCGGCUUGGCAAGUCAGUAGUGAAAUCCAUGGGCUUAACCCAUGAACUGCUAUUGAAACUGUCGAGCUUGAGUGAAGUAGAGGUAGGCGGAAUUCCCGGUGUAGCGGUGAAAUGCGUAGAUAUUAGGAGGAACACCAGUGGCGAAGGCGGCCACCUGGACCGGUAUUGACGCUGAGGCGCGAAAGCGUGGGGAGCAAACAGG